GCCUUUAGAUGGCCUCGCGUCUGAUUAGCUAGUUGGUGGGGUAAUUGCCUACCAAGGCGACGAUCAGUAGCUGUUCUGAGAGGAAGAUCAGCCACACUGGGACUGAGACACGGCCCAAACUCCUACGGGGGGCAGCAGUGGGGAAUUUUCCGCAAUGGGCGCAAGCCUGACGGAGCAACGCCGCGUGAGGGAGGAAGGUCUGUGGAUUGUAAACCUCUUUUCUCUGUGAAAAAGAUCUGACGGUCGCAGAGGAAUCAGCAUCGGCUAACUCCGUGCCAGCCCCCGGGGUAAGACGGAGGAUGCAAGCUUUAUCCGGAAUUAUUGGGCGUAAAGCGUCCGUGGGCGGUUUUAUAAUUCAACUGUAAAAGACUGGGGCUUAACCCUGGGAGUGCAGUUAAAACUGUGAGACUUGAGAGUGGUGGGGGUAGAAGAAAUUCCUAGUGUAGCGGAAAAAUGCUUAAAUAUUAAAAAAAACACCGGUGGCAAAGGCCCUCUACUGGGCCAUUACUGACCCUGAUGGACAAAAG
RNAcentral lists this ribosomal RNA (527 nucleotides) under uncultured Leptolyngbya sp. RNAcentral describes it as "bacterial SSU rRNA". It matches the Rfam family "Bacterial small subunit ribosomal RNA", at positions 217 to 759 of the family's 1533-position model. Lineage: Bacteria; Bacillati; Cyanobacteriota; Cyanophyceae; Leptolyngbyales; Leptolyngbyaceae. The record is from RNAcentral.